AAGUCGUAACAAGGUCUCCGUUGGUGAACCAGCGGAGGGAUCAUUACAGAGUUGCAAAACUCCCAACCAUUGUGUACCUACCUCACCGUUGCUUCGGCGGGUAGCCUGUAACCCAGGCCGCGCCGGCUCCCCUCCAGGGGCCGGCAGCCCGUCAGAAGCCCGAAACUCUUCGUUAUUACAGGCCUCUCUGAGUAACUUAUACAAUAAGUCAAAACUUUCAACAACGGAUCUCUUGGUUCUGCCAUCGAUGAAGAACGCAGCGAAACGCGAUACGUAAUGUGAAUUGCAGAUUUCAGUGAAUCAUCGAAUCUUUGAACGCACAUUGCGCCCGCUAGUAUUCUGGCGGGCAUGCCUGUUCGAGCGUCAUUUCAACCAUCAAGCGCCUGCGCUUGUGUUGGAGCCCUGCGGCUGCCGCAGGCUCCCAAACCCAGUGGCGGGCUCGUCGUCGUACCGAGUGCAGUAAACAUCCUCGCUCAGGGCGCGCGUCGGGUACCGGCCGUAAAACACCCCCCUAUAUCAAGGUUGACCUCGGAUCAGGUAGGAAUACCCGCUGAACUUAAGCAUAUCAAUAAGCGGAGGAAAAGAAACCAACAGGGAUUGCCCCAGUAACGGCGAGUGAAGCGGCAACAGCUCAAAUUUGAAAUCUGGCCUCGGCCCGAGUUGUAAUUUGCAGAGGAAGCUUCUGGUGCGGCGCCGUCCGAGUCUCCUGGAACGGAGCGCCAUAGAGGGUGAGAGCCCCGUAUGGACGGAUGCCUAGCCUGUGUGAAGCUCCUUCGACGAGUCGAGUAGUUUGGGAAUGCUGCUCUAAAUGGGAGGUAAAUUCCUUCUAAAGCUAAAUAUUGGGCAGAGACCGAUAGCGCACAAGUAGAGUGAUCGAAAGAUGAAAAGCACUUUGAAAAGAGGGUUAAACAGCACGUGAAAUUGUUGAAAGGGAAGCGCUUGUGAUCAGACUUGAGCGCGGCGGAUCAUCCGGUGUUCUCACCGGUGCACUCUGCCGCGCCCAGGCCAGCAUCGGUUUCCGCGGGGGGACAAAGGCCCUGGGAACGUAGCUCCUCCGGGAGUGUUAUAGCCCAGGGCGUAAUGCCCUCGCGGGGACCGAGGACCGCGCAUCUGCAAGGAUGCUGGCGUAAUGGUCAUCAGCGACC
RNAcentral lists this ribosomal RNA (1145 nucleotides) under uncultured fungus. RNAcentral's name for it is "eukaryotic LSU rRNA". The stretch from base 524 to 1145 matches the Rfam family "Eukaryotic large subunit ribosomal RNA", at positions 1 to 649 of the family's 3401-position model. The record is from RNAcentral. Lineage: Eukaryota; Fungi.